UACGUAGGGGGCGAGCGUUGUCCGGAAUGAUUGGGCGUAAAGGGCGCGUAGGCGGCUUUGCAAGUCAGUAGUGGAAGUCCAUUUUUCAAGGAUGGAAGUGCUACAGAAACUGCGGAGCUUGAGUGCAGGAGAGGUUAUCGGAAUUCCCGGUGUAGCGGUGAAAUGCGUAGAGAUCGGGAGGAACACCAGUGGCGAAGGCGGGUAACUGGACUGCAACUGACGCUGAGGCGCGAAAGUGUGGGGAGCAAACAGGAUUAGAUACCCGGGUAGUU
This 272-nucleotide ribosomal RNA is filed under the name uncultured prokaryote. RNAcentral's name for it is "partial 16S ribosomal RNA". It matches the Rfam family "Bacterial small subunit ribosomal RNA", at positions 524 to 795 of the family's 1533-position model. The record is from RNAcentral.